UACUGAGCCACACACCCUAGGGCCUGUGCUCCACAACAAGAGAAGCCACCCCAAUGAGAAGCCUGAGCACCACAACUAGAGAAUAGCCCCACUUGCCACAACUAGAGAAAGCCUGCAUGCAGUGAUGAAGACCCAAAACCCUAUUCUAGCUUUUAAGGAACUUCCAGAAUAGAUGCACAUACAGCACUAGAAGAGAACAUUUUCAGGACUGAAUAAGUACUGCUGGCACUGAGCAUGCAGAGGAGGAGGAAGCAGUCACUAUAGGCUGAGGUUUUGGGAGAGGCCUCACAGUGAAGAGUGACAGCUGAUUCAUGAAAGAAGGUAGACCUAGGAUGUGUCAUGGCCAGGAAAAAAGAACACAGGACUGGGUCUAGGAAUAAAACUGGUUUUAUUUAUUUAUUUAUUUAUUUAUUCACUAGCUUGGUUUCUUUGAAGAUACAGAAAAAUAUAAAUCUGUCAACAUCUACUCUAAAUAAGACAAAUUUGGUAUAAGAAUAUUAAUAUUUACAAAGAUAUAAUUUAAUGCAAAAAGAAGGAUAUGAUAUUAAGAUAAGCAAUUGUCUACCAGGAGGAUAGAAUCAUCAUGUACUUGUAUGUAUUGCCCCCUCGCCCCCCAAGAAAACAGCCUUGAAAUAUGUUAAUCCCCAAACUGGGAGAAUUUAAGACAUCUCUCUCAGAUAAUGAUGGACCAAGCAUUUAAAACAUUAAUAAGGAUAAUGAAUAAUUGAUUUGAACAACAAGAAGGGGAAACUGAAGCACAGAGCUUCAGUGAAAUAGCUUGUCCAAGACUAUACAGCUAGUGACAGAGCAGAGAUUCAAACCCAGGAAAUCUUUUGUUGCCAGCCUGUGGCUAAAGUAGAAUUUUGAAAAUGUAUUUACAUAAAAGUAUUAAAAACAAGUCAACUAAGCAUUCAAUAUUCAACUCAACAAGUUUGAAAAUAGAUAAAUCCCCCAAAGAGGAAGCAAACAAAAACUCUAAACACCCAAAGCUGGUUCUUUGAAAAGCCUAUAAAAAUAGGUUUCUUUAAAUAUUGACAGAGAAACUCACAGAGAACGAAAAUAUGAGAGAAAAAGAUGUGAGUAAAGAAAGGGACAUAACUAGAGAAAUAUCAGAGACUUUUAAAAUUAUGGAUGAAUAGUAUAAAGAAUUUUUUACCAAUAAACUGAAAAGUUAAAGUGUAUUUUUUUCUAGAAAACAAAAGUUAGCAAAGUUGCAAAAAAAAAAAAAAAAAAAAAGAUGAACCAAUACCCAAUAAAGAAAUGGAAAGUACUCAGGACUCUUGCAACACUCCUUUUUUCACUCACAAAAGGAGAAGGUACAGAAAAUUUUAUGCUGCAUAUUAAAAAACCUUUAAAACAGAAAAAGGAGGGGGAGGAAAGCCAUGAACUUUGUUUUAUGAAGGUUUAACUACCUUUUCACCAAAAUGGGACAAGAGCAAUACAAGAAAAGGAAAGAUGAAAUUUUUCAAGGUAAAAUUAACAAAGAGAUCUUUUAGUCUGAGAUCCAGUGAAAUGUGUUUGCUAUGUGGAAGUAGAAGGCAGCAGGAAUCUUAACUCAAUGAAACUGCUGGGUUUUCCUCACUGACUAGCUUCCCAGAUUAUGAAGAAUGAGGCAUCAGUGUUCUGCAUCAUCAUCCAAUGCAAAGGUAGAGUGGAACAUGACUGAGCACCAUUAUAACCUCACUGGGAUACCACACAGACAGUACUCUACAGGUGCCAGUAUGAAGAUGACUCAACGGAAGUAAGGAUUCCAGGGCAGUGUCAGAUCUGAAAAAGCAAUCCCAGCACCAGUUCCUUGUCUCACAGUGGCUUGGCAACUUCACCUCUCUCAAAGUAGAGAGGAAAAUCAAGUCAAACAGGCCUUCCUGAAACAUGGCGUAAAACACCACAUGUCACCUUUGUUCCUGGAGGAGACACUAAACAAGUACUUGUUGAGACUUCAACUCAAAUAGCUCUAGGAAAAGCCACUUGUUAUAGAGCAAAAUGGGCUGAUGGUUCGAAUUAUCCAUCCACAGAAGAAGAAAUGAUCCUGAAGAGAAAGCUGCAUAAAGUAUUUCCUAGUUGAAAAGGCUCUGGAAUCAGCGUCUAGAAUUUGAAUCUCAACUCUGAAGUGCAUCAGCUGUGUGACCUUAGGAACUCUCGGCUGGAUUUGUGACUUGCUUGAAGAAACAGAAUGUGAUGGAUGUGAAGCUGUGUGACUUUCAGCUUUUUGAAAAAUAAUUAAAAGUCAUGAUU
Long non-coding RNA from Bubalus bubalis (water buffalo), 2235 nucleotides. RefSeq lists it as uncharacterized. The record is from RefSeq and is a predicted model, not a curated record. Lineage: Eukaryota; Metazoa; Chordata; Mammalia; Artiodactyla; Bovidae. The transcript has 5 exons.